GCUCAGAAUGAACGCUGGCGGCAUGCCUAACACAUGCAAGUCGAACGAAGGCUUCGGCCUUAGUGGCGCACGGGUGCGUAACGCGUGGGAAUCUGCCCCUUGGUUCGGAAUAACAGUUGGAAACGACUGCUAAUACCGGAUGAUGACGUAAGUCCAAAGAUUUAUCGCCGAGGGAUGAGCCCGCGUAGGAUUAGGUAGUUGGUGUGGUAAAGGCGCACCAAGCCGACGAUCCUUAGCUGGUCUGAGAGGAUGAUCAGCCACACUGGGACUGAGACACGGCCCAGACUCCUACGGGAGGCAGCAGUGGGGAAUAUUGGACAAUGGGCGAAAGCCUGAUCCAGCAAUGCCGCGUGAGUGAUGAAGGCCUUAGGGUUGUAAAGCUCUUUUACCCGGGAUGAUAAUGACAGUACCGGAG
Molecule: ribosomal RNA, 415 nt
Filed under: Sphingomonas sp.
Lineage: Bacteria; Pseudomonadati; Pseudomonadota; Alphaproteobacteria; Sphingomonadales; Sphingomonadaceae
Description: bacterial SSU rRNA
Rfam family: Bacterial small subunit ribosomal RNA
Source: RNAcentral